AUUUUGUUAAUAAUAAAGAUCUACCCAUUUCCCGAAGCCGCAGGAAGCCCCAAGCUCUACCAAGCAUUUUAUAGGUGCACUGCUGUUACCUGGGCACCUCCCACAAUUCUCCUUCCAGGACUGCAAGCCUGCAUGCAUUUUCUGUUGCUUCCUGAGAAAGACCUGGGAGCCAUGGCUUUAGCCUGAAAGUUCUUGAGUCUUUUUAGGAAGAAUCUGAACUGCAAAACACUUGUCCUUUAUAUUUAUAACUGGUCAAAAUAACGCUGGAGUUAAUGUUACAUCUGUUACAGAAAAUGAAACCUCCUGAGCUGUCCGGUAAUAGAAAGAAGCUGCAGAACCCUGUUGUCUUCAUCUUUUGUUUAACUCAUGCAACAUUUGAAAGCACGUUUGCCUACAAGAAAUAAAACUUAAGUUGUGAAAUGGCUUAUUAAUGAACUCAGAUGACAAGAAACCAAAACAGCGGGCCUGGCUGAAGGAUUCAUCCCUAGCCCUGAAAGCCAGCGGGGUCUUUCUGUAACAUCAAAGGCACAAACAAUUGAACCGACAUGGGGACUUAUUCUGUCCAGCAGCCCUGGUGGCCUCAGACCAUCCGAAGCAAGGGUAACCUACCAGAAAGCUGCUAGAUGUUCCCCACUACAGUGAAGGAUUAAACAAAGAAUGAAGAAGAAGUAGGACUCAAGAAGUAAAUGAUCCAACUCAAGAAAGAGGUAAAGGGAAUUCUCAGGAUAAAGGCUCAACCAGGCCUGGAAAACAAACUGUCCACAUUGGAACAAGAGAAAGGAGGGAAUCAAGGAAAAAAAAGGGAUCUGGGGUGGAGGUGGGGGUGUAAAAGUGCUCAGCUAUCUAAAAUGUUUAAUUAGGCCAGGCGUGGUGGCUCAUGCCUGUAAUCAUGCCUUUGGGAGGCAGAGGCAGAUGGAUCACCUGAGGUCAGGAGUUCGAGAUCAGCCUGGCCAACAUGGUGAAAUCCUGACUCUACCAAAAAUACAAAAAUUAGCUGGGUGUGGUGGUGGACGCCUAUAAUCCCAGCUACUCGGGAGGCUGAGGCAGGAGAAUCGCUUGAACACGGGAGGCGGAGGUUGCAGUGAGCAGAGAUUGCAGCAUUGCACUCCAUCCUGGGUGAAACAGAAAGACUUUGUCUCAAAGAAAAAAAUAAAUAAAAAUAAAUAAAUGAUAAAUAAAUAAAUAAAAUAAAUAAAAUGUUUUAUUAUAUGAAAAAUUGUAUUGGGAAGCUAUUGGAAAACAUGGAAAGAAUUAGAGAUAAAGAAAACAAAAAUUUAAAAAAAAUACAAUAACUAACAAGGUAGUACAAAUUAGUUUGGACAGAGAAAGUUCAACUCUUUCCUACUGUUCAUCAGAUCGGGAAGAUAGAGACAGAUAAUGCUAAUGUUUCUUUCUCUCAGGGACACAGGGCAGCUAUAAAGUGUCAUAAUGAUUCCCUAAGAAAUCCCUAAAGCCAUGCACUAUGAGAAACUUUGCUAAUUGAAAUAAACAUCAGCAGGAAUGAAACAUCCCACUCUUGCCUGGAAGAUCUAAGUCACUCUGACACAAAAAAAGGCAGCCUUGAUUUACAACCCAGGUGCAGAACUUCAGAUACGAAUUUUGUGUGAUUUCUAAGGAAAUAGGAGCCUGGGUCCCCCUCUGCAGUCCAGACCUGAUGUUAAUCUCUUCCCACACAGCCCUGCUUUGCACCUAUCGAAACACUACUUCAUUUAAAUUUAACCUAAAUUCUGGCCGGGCACGGUGGCUCACGCCUGUAAUCUCAGCACUUUGGGAAGCUGAGGUGGACAGAUCACGAGGUCAAGAGAUCGGGACCAUCCUGGCCAACAUGGUGAAACCCUGCCUCUACUAAAAAUACAUAAAUUAGCUCGGCGUAGUGGCACGU
RNAcentral lists this long non-coding RNA (1882 nucleotides) under Homo sapiens (human). RNAcentral describes it as "HSALNT0190524". The record is from RNAcentral. Lineage: Eukaryota; Metazoa; Chordata; Mammalia; Primates; Hominidae.